RNA transcript from Camelus dromedarius (Arabian camel), 8143 nucleotides. It is a transcript of the gene named cyclic AMP-dependent transcription factor ATF-5-like, with no coding region annotated. NCBI's taxonomy places the organism in Eukaryota, Metazoa, Chordata, Mammalia, Artiodactyla, Camelidae. The record is from RefSeq and is a predicted model, not a curated record. The transcript has a single exon.
UUGUUUUAAAUAUAAAGCGUCUUUUACCUCCUUGGCUAAUUUUAGUCCAGGUAUUUUAUUCUUUUUGAUAAAAUUGUAAAUGGGAUUGUUUUCUUAAUUUCCCUCAAUCUGAGUUUGUCAUUAGCCUAUAGUAAUGCAAUGCAGCAGAUUUCCAUAUAUUGAUUUUGUAUCCUGCAACUUUAGUGAAUCCAUUUAUUGAUUUUAUUUAACAGGAAGAUAUAAAAUUCUAAAUUUACCUAAAAAUAUACUGAGCAACAGCUCUCAAAGUUAAAAUUAAAUCUAAAAUCAUAAAUGGAGAUUUAAAAAACUCUCUCAGUAACUGACAGAACAAAAAUAUCAGUAAUGCUAUAGAAUAUUUAUACCAUAUAUUUAAAAAUGUAUGCAUAGAACACUGCAUCCAACAGUCAUAGAGUAGUUUUAUCCUCUAGUGCACAUGGAACAUCUAACAAAGUUGAUCACAUGCUGACCUUAAAAAAGUCUUAUCAUAGUCUUAAUAACAGACUUGACAAGAAUAUUACCAGAAAAAGGAAAAUUAUGGAAUAAUCCACCUGAUAAAUAUAGAAACAUAAAGCCUCAAACAAAAUAUUGGCAUAUCAAAUAAGGCAUAUUUUAAAUAAUACAAGUUAGCUUUGUCCAAGGAAUAAAAGGUGGAUUUAAGAUUCAAAGUCAAUCAAUAUAAUUUACCAUGUUAAGAAAGAAGAGCAGAAAACUACAUAAUUAUAGCAAAUGUGGGGGAAGAAUCUCAUAAAAUUUAGCACCUUUUCAUUAAUAAAAAACUAACCCUAACCCUAACCUCCUACACUGCUGGUGGGAAUGCAGUUUGGUGCAGCCACUGUGGAAAAUAGUACAGAGAUUCCUCAAAAGACUAGGCAUAGACUUACCAUAUGACCCAGGAAUCCCACUCCUGGGCAUAUAUCCAGAAGGAACCCUACUUCAAAAAGACAUCUGCACCCCAAUGUUCACAGCAGCACUAUUUACAAUAGCCAAGACAUGGAAACAGACUAAAUAUCUAUCAGCAGAUGACUGGAUAAAGAAGAUGUGGUAUAUUUCUACAAUGAAAGACUAUUCAGCCAUAAAAAUGACAACAUAACACCAUUUGCAGCAACAUGGAUGUCCCUAGAGAAUGUCAUUCUAAGUAAAGUAAGCCAGAAAAAGAAAGAAAAAUACCAUAUGAGAUCGCUUAUAUGUAAAAUCUAAAAAAAAAAGAUGAAGAAUAAAGAAAGAAAAAAACAAAUGAACAUAAAUACAAAACAGAAACAGACUCAUAGACAUAGAAUACAAACUUGUGGUUACCGGGGGGGUGGGGGUAGGGGUGGGAAGGGACAGACUGGUAGUUUGAAAUUUGUAGAUACUGACAGGCAUAUGUAGAAUAGAUAAACAAGAUUAUACUGUAUAGCACAGGGAAAUAUAUACAAGAUCUUGUGGUAGCUCACAGUGAAAAAGAAUGUGACAGUGAAUAUAUGUAUGUUCAUGUAUAACUGAAAAAUUGUGCUCUGCACUGGAAAUCAACACAACAGUGUAAACUGACUAUAACUCAAUAAAAAAAAUUUUUUUUAAGAAAUACUUAGUAAAAUAAGGACAAAAGUGAAUUUCCUUAAUCUGAACUAUAGUAACAGCAACAACAAAAAAAUCUCAAGGAAUCAUCAUAUAUGAUGAUGAGAUACUGAAGUCUUCCCCCUGAGAUUAGGACUGAGACAACUACCACUUCUAUUUAAUUUAUAAUGAAGGUCUUAUUCACUGUAAUAAAUCAAGGAAAGAAAAAAUACAUAAAACCAGAAAUAAAUAAAACCCUCAACCCCACAGAUGAUGUUAUUGUUUAUAAAUAAAAUCCAAGAGUGAAUUUACUAAAGUUGCCAGAUACGUAACAUACAGAAACCAAUUGUAUUUCUAUAUGUAGCAACAAAAAAUUGCAAAAUAACAGUUUUAAAUAAUAGUAGUCAUAGUCUCAUCAGAAUACAACAAAUAGCUAGGGAUAAAUCUGUAAAAGACACGUGAAACCUCUACAGAGAACACUGCAGCACAUUGUUGAAAUAAAAGACUAUCUCAGUUAGCGUGGCAGAGCAUCCUAUAAUCACAUAUUAAAAAAAUUCAGUAUUGUAAAAAUGUCAGUUCUUAAAUUGAUCUACAGAUUCAGUGCAGUUGCAAUAAAAAUCCUAGCAGGUAUUUUUUAAUGGAAAUUAAUAAGCUGAUUCUAAAAUUUGUACAGAAGUUUAAGUACCAAGAAUGGCCAAGACAAUCUUGACAAAUUACCAUAAAGAGAAUAGAGAUAAUAGAAUUAGAGAAUAUACAGGAGUCAAUACUUACAAAGUUAAACGAUUGGGCAGUUUGUGCAAGAACAGAUAAAUAGCCCAAUGGAAAAACAUACCAUUUUAGUUGGAUCCAGCUUCAGGAAGCCGUUUGAUUUGUGAUAGAAAAGUAACACUGGGAGGAGUUCAAUGACUAAGUCCAUCCUCUUGGCCUUAUACUCUCUGCUCAGCAACCUGGGGUAAACUGGUAAGACUGUGGCUUGUCUUCUGUAAGCUCAUGGCUUGUAUAUGAAAACAAAGCUAAAAGAUUGAGAAUCUGAAUGCAUUGGAUCACUUUUGGUAGAAGCAGUGGAUGGAGAGAAAUCUACGUGUCAUUUUCCAUUACCUUUUUAUGUUGAAAUAAUUGAAACCUUUCAGUAAAGCUGAAAGUAUUGUACAAAGAAGUACAUACAGUUCAUCUCAGUUCCCCAAUUGUUAACGUAUUAUCACUUUUUAUUUUAAUAUUCUCUCCAGUUUUUCCCUAAAUUAUAUAGCAAACAUGCUGUCUUCUUACUUAUAUUUUAGUGUGUAUUUCCUAAAACCAAGGACACUUUGUAAUGGGUUCAACUGUUUCCCCUAAGUCCAUAUGUUGAAUCCCUAACCCUCAGCGUCACUGCAUUUGAUAACACAGCCAUUAAGAAGGUGAUUAAGAUUAAAGGAGGGCAUAAAUGUGGGACCCGAAUCCAAAAGGACUGACACCUUAUAAGAGGAGGAAGAGAGAGCAGGAGCGUCCAUGCUCACUGAGGAAAGGCCUUGUUGGGGGCACAAUAAGAUGGAUGUCUGCAAAAUAGGAAGAGAAGUCUAACAAGAAAUCAGCCUUGCUGGCAACUUCAUCUUGGACUUCUGGCCUCUAGAACAGUGAGAAAUUAAAUUUCUGUUGUUUAUAUCUGUCCCCAGUCCCCGGGGCUGCCUCUUCCCCAUCCUCAGAUGAAGGUCUCUCCUCCUGCUACCACGACACCGCCUCCGCCUGCACAGCCCCGGCCAUGGCUCUGCAGCUGCGGCCCCUCUGCGCCCCAGGCCAGUCUCUACGCUUGCGUGCCUGUGCUCGCGGAUCCUGCCUUCUUUCUUCACCUGAGGCCGCCGCUGCCUCUCCUUUCUGCAGCCAUGGAGUCCUCCACUUUUGCCUUGGUGCCUGUUUUCGCCCAGCUGAGCAACUUCCAGAAUCUCCUCCCAGCUGUUGGCGCAGCCUCCUUCAUUGCCAUCCGUGCCCAGCACCCGCACCACAGCCAUGUCACUCCUGGCGACCCUGGGGCUGGACCUGGACAGGACCCUGGUCCCAGCUAGUGGGCUGGGCUGGCUCAUAGACUAUGGGAGCCACCCCCCCCCCCAGGCCCCUGCCCUCCUGGGCCCCUAUGAGGUCCUUGGGGGAGCCCUGGAGGGCGGGCUUCCGGGUGGGGGAGCUCCCCUGGUAGAUGAUGGCUUCCCUGGCUGGAUGACCGAGCUGGUCGACUUUACAGCCCUUCCCCCUUUGGAGCCCCCUUGCCCUCAGGUGCCCUCCCCUCAUCUUCCCAGAUCUAGAAGCUAUGCUUCCCUCCUAUAAAGGAACUUGAGCAGAUGGAAGACUUCUUCCUUGAUGCUCCCUCCUCCCACCAUCAUCCCGAAGUCCUAAACCGCUGCUGCCACCGCCCCUCCCCUUCUCACCAUUGACCUCCCCCAGGCCCCAGCCCUGGAUACCCUUGACUUGCUAGCCAUCUACUGUUGCAGGGAGGCUGGGCCAGGGGACUCUGGGUUGGCAACCCCGCCCCCAUCCCCACAACCCCUUUGUCCACCUCCACCCUCUCGCCCAGCCCCCUACCCCAAUCCUGCCACCGCCCACGGGGACCACGAGCAAAAGGAGAGGGACCAGACCACAUCAGCGGCUCUGAGGUACCUGCCAAGGAAGCGCCCAGAGGGCGAGGCCCUGGAGGGCGGGUGCCAGGGGCUGAAGACUCGGAACCGGGAGCUGAGGGAGACGGCUGAGUAGGCGGAGUGGGAAAUCCAGUAUGUCAAUGGGCUGCUCAUCUAAGUGUACAAGGCUUGAAGCAAGGGAACCCGGAACAGCUAGCCAGGCAGGGGCUUUGUGCGGUAGGGGGCGCUGGUCUUCCGCUCUGGCUCCCUAGUCUUUCUGGGGCUGAGGUGGGAGGGUCCAUCCCGCUGUCAUCCCCCUGCAUCCAGCUUCCCAUCAAACCCUUCCCUCCCUCCUCCCACCCCCCUUUCUCUCUCCUCUUUGAUCCUUGUCUCCUCUCGUUUACAUUCUGAUUUGGCUCCCCUCUUCUCUCCCCAGAAUCAAGGCAUGUUUGGCCUCAGUCAACAUGUACAUCCUUAUGUAACAGCUGAGGAACAGAGCCCCACAGGGAAUUUGGGGAGCAGGGGAGAGCUUGGAAACUUAGUCUCCCAAACAGGGAAAUGAGGCCAGGAAGCUCUGCAGAAUGACGAUGCAUAGGAGGACAGGGGAACCAUCUGGGGACUAAGCCAAGAAAAGUUCUAAGAAUGGUGCCCAUAGAAUGUAAGCCAAACAAGCCAGGUGACCUUGGAGAACUACAUUUGGGGGAUGGAACCAAAAGGUGGCCAAGUUCGCAGAGCAGAUGGAUAUACAGGCAGAUGGGGAGGUGGGCUGGGUGGAGAACAGCCGUUAUUGGUGAUUGGGUGUUCAUUUUAGCUCUGGGAGAAAAUCAGUGUUGUGUGAAGUUGUUGGGGUGAGGGCCACAUCAAGGUGAGGGAGGGGUAGGGACUGAUCAUUUUUGGGGUAUUGUGAGUGGAAAUAAAAUGAAGCAUUUCCUCUGGGAAAAAAAAAUCUGUUGUUUAAGGAACUCAAUCUGUAAUAUUUUGACAGUAAAUUAUGACUGUACUAGGAGACUAACACACUCCCCUAUUACAGCACAGCCAUUAACAUCAGGACAUUAUUAGUAUUCAUACAGUACCACUAUCUAAUCCACAGAGCCAUUCAGGUUUUCUGAUUUCCCAACUAUGUUCUUUAUAGCAAAAACAAAACAAAUAAACAAAACAAAUAAAUAAAAAUGGACUUCUUUUUCACCCUUCUGUCUCCAUUCCAGGAUCCAAUUCAGGAUCAUACAUUGAUCUAUUUGUCAUAUGUUUUUAGUUACCUUUACUUUGGAACGAUUUCCCUAAUAUUUAAUUAUCUUUUAUGAUCUUAACAUUUUUAGAGUUCUGGCCAUUCAUCUCAUAUAAUUUCCUUUGAUUUAGAUUUGUUUUAUAUUUUUGUAUGAUAAGAUUAAGCAUAUGCAUUUUGGGCCAGAAUACUAGAGAAGUCAACCUGUGGUCUUUUCAGUGCAACAUAAUAAAGACCCAUGAUAUUCAUGUGUCUCUGACUGAUGAUGUUAACUUUUAUCACUUGACUAAGAUGAUGUCAGUGAGGUUACUCCACUUUGAAGUUAGUUAAUAAGUAUUUUUAUUUAUUAACUGAUAUGUGUAAGUACUUUAUCAAUUAAUGAGUAAUUAAUCAUUGUUUUCUGGGGCAAAACUUUGACACUAUGUAUAAACCCUGUUUCCUCAAGCAUUUAUCCAUUAAUUUUAGCAUCUCCUGAUGAUCUUUCCUGAAUCAAUUAAUAUAAAUAGUGAUUUUCUAAUCUAUCAUAGAAAAUCUAAGCAAAGAAAUGGAGGAUAUAAAAAAUCAAAUAGAAAUUAUAGAACUGAAAAGUACAUUAACCAAAAUAAAAAAGCCACCAGAGAGGCCAAUGAUCAAUAUUCAGAAUUACUAUCACAGGGCAAAUAAUAACGGAACUUGAAGACAGAAGAGAACAGUGAAAAUAACCCAAACUGCACAACAGAGAGAAAAUAGACUGAAAGAAGUUAAUAGAAUCACAGGGAAUCAUCUGUAGAAAAAUAACAAAAAAUUUAACAUUUGUAUCAGCAGAGUCCCAAAAGGAAAAGAGAAAAAUGUGGGACUGAAAUAGUUUUCAAAGAAAUAAUAGACAUAAAUUUAUAGGUACAAGGAGCUGUGUGAACCCCAAACAGAAAUACAUAUCAAGACACAUCAGAAAUAAACUUCUGAGAACUACAGAUAAAGGGAAACUCUCAAAAGUAGUAAAAGAGAAAAGAUGAACUAAUUACAAGGGAGAACAGUAGCUAUCUCAAUUGAAACCAUGGAACCCAGAAGGAAGUGGCACACCUUUAAAGCAAUGAAAGAAAAAAAUAUAUAUUACUCCAGAUUUCUACAUCAAGCAAAGCUGUCCUUCCAGAAUAAAGGUGAAAUCAAGACAUUCUCAGAUGAAUGAAAACUAAGAAAUUUUGUUGCCAGUAGAGCUGCUCGUAAAAAUUCCCAAAAGAAGUUCUUCAGGCAGAAGGGAAGUGACACCAGAAGGAAACUUGAAAUACCAGGAGUGAAGAAGGAAUCAUAAAAGGAGUAAAUAUGGAAUGCAACACAACUAAUAUUACAUUUCUUCUGAUACUGGGACUUAAGAAGCAUCACACCUUCUGCUUUCACUCUUUUAGAAUCUUGAGGCCUCCAAGUUUUGCAGAAGUUCACACUAGCUUUCUAGAAGAGGAGAGGCCUCCUUGGGGCACACACAGUGAUGGCAUCAACUUCUAGGUAUGUGAGUAGGUUGUUUUGGGUGUUUCAUUUCCAUUUAAGCCAUAGAAGUGACCCUAGGCAAGACCAGGAGGAAAAUCACCAAGAUUUCAAAACCACAGAAUAGAGAAGUAAUAAAUCUUUGUUGUUUUAAGCCUGUUGCAAAUAAUUCUUAAGAAAAUAAAGAUAAGCCAGAGAUUUCGUGAGAAUAUUUCCAAAACACAUAUCUGAUAUAGAACUUAUAUCCAAAACAUAUAAAGAACACUGAUAAUUCAGUAAGAAACCACUCAGCCCAAUACAGAGAUGGGGGGUAUUUUUCUAUCAAUACUUCAACAUAGAAAAUAAAUGAAUGUCAAAAUAUAUAUGAAAAGGUGGGUAAAAUCAUUAGUCGUGGAAAUUAAUUACUACUUAGUAAUAAAAUGAAAUCAACUACUGACACAUACAAUAACAUAGAGGAAUCAAUAUAUGAUAAUGAAAACCAGAACAGCGGUUUUUCUCUCUGGGUGCAAGGCAGUAACUGGAAAAAGAGAGAAGUGAACAGUUUUUGUUGUAGAAAUGCUGUGUAUCUUAAUUAAGGUGGUGGUUACAUAGGUGUAUACAUUUGUCAAACCCAUCGAACUUUAAACUUACCAACUGUGUUUUUUCAGUAAAGGUAAAUCACAGCCCCCAAAAAAGAGAAAUGGAAAAAAUAAAUGAUAAAACAAGCUGAAAACGUUAAUAUAAAUUAUGAGCAAAUACAUAAUUUUUCUCAAAAUAUAAAGUACUUACAAAAACUGAAAUCAAAAUUUGUUAUUUAUAAAGACAAUCUUCUAAAACAAAGCAUUAUUCAGUCAGUCCUUGAACACUGUGGAUUUUAACUGCAUGAGUCCACUUAUUCAGGGAUUUUUUUUCAGUGUUAAAUACUACAUUACCAAAUGACCUGAGGUUGGUUGAGUCUACCAAAGUGGGACCACAUAUGUGGAGGAACCAAGUAUAUGGAGGGCCAACUCUGAGUUACACACAGACUUUUGGCUGCAAGGAGGAUUAGUGCCCCUAACUCCUGCAUUAUUUGAGGGUCAAUUAUAAUCAACUUUUGAGUUGUGAGCAUAUAUUUGUGAAAAAAAAUUAACCAUUGUAAAACUCUUCCUGCUACUUUAAUGGGAGGAACAGUGCACAGUGCAUAGAUACUUACAAGCUAACUACAGAAAUUUCUCCCUGACUCUAAUGUUCAAAUAACUUUAUCUUUUGUUUGAUAACAGUGAGGAAACUUCCAGAAAAUAUUGAGUGUUUUCCAGGGGUUGGUGUUUCUAUUGAUAGUGAAUUGUAGUGUAUGUAUUUAUAUAUGUGUAUGUGUGUAUACACACACACACAC